Gallus gallus (chicken) is the source of this 11183-nucleotide long non-coding RNA. RefSeq lists it as uncharacterized. The record is from RefSeq and is a predicted model, not a curated record. The transcript is spliced from 4 exons. Lineage: Eukaryota; Metazoa; Chordata; Aves; Galliformes; Phasianidae.
AGCCGCGGCUGCGAGCUGACGCUGCGUUUUCACAUCGCGACGUCACGGAGCAGCACCGCACCGCUUGCGCGGGGCUCCCGGGGAGAUGCGCGACCCGAAAGCAUCCCGAGGGCUGAGGGAAACCUCGGCCGGCUCCGAGCUGUCGGCACCCCGGCCCCACGCGGAAUCACAGCGGGUCACGCUCCCUCGCCUCGUCCUGCCCAGCCCCUGCACACGCACAUGCCCACAGCACGCACGUUUCGCCACGGCACCCGGAGAUCAGGCGCCGGGUCAGAACUCGAGCGCUGUUUUCUACCUAGAGAGCGAAUCGGUCAACUAAACUGUGCUUCCCUUGUAUCCCGUCGCGUCCCAGAGUCGCCGGUCACUGGCGUCUGUUUCCAGAUGCCCCCGAGUUCUCGCUAUUUGGCGGGGGCUGUCAGAGCUGUUGCAGGUCAGCAGCUUGGCAGGAAGACACUGACUGUUCCUGUUUGCUGGAGGGAUCACAGCUUCUGAAGAUUCCCUUUUAGACUCAGAGGGCCUUAAUGGACAAGAUUGAUUUUCACUGACAUCAAAAUUCCUGCACUGCCAAAGGAGGGGUUGGGUAUGGCUGUGGCAGAUGCAGAAUGGAAGGCACAAAAAGCCGAUACAGAAAAUGCCUUGCUGAUCACAGUGCCAGUGAGACGCCGAAAGAAGCUUCUACAUUAAUGGCUCGUUACCUUCUUUCAGAGAUAAGUACAGGUUUUGGCAUUUGUUUAGCAUCAGCAGCUUCUAUGCUAGUGCAGGAGCCAUGCUCUGCUGGCACAGUGGAUCUUGCACCUGGCAUGCAGAAGCUGAAAGCACCACAGCUAUAUUUACAUAGGUCUGUAACUGUUCUCAAACAAGGGGAAUUUUCUAUCCUCAUUCACAUAAUCAUAAAGAGAGGGACAAAUGCAGGUAAGAGAUUCCAAUCUCCAUCCUAUAGUAAUUCCCAGGCUCCUUCUGUGAUUAACAAAUAGAAAUACAUAAGUUACUAUGCACAGUAAUCAGACCUGAAGUGCUUGAUGACAGGAGGAGUGACAGCCUACGCUUGACAUGGUAUUUCAUGUAAGGCAUAGAUGCCAUCUCCUAGGAGUGCUCCUCCAGUUCUCUUGUUUUUCCACAGAGUUAUGCUCCUAGGGCCUGAGAAGAAUGUCUUUACUUUGUUGGUGUACUGCACAGCAAAAUGAACAAACAAAAAAGCCUAUUAAUACUUCUGUUAAUCAGUCUUACAGAGCAAGAAAUGUUUUGAUCCAGACAAUAAGCAGUAUUACUUGCUGGUAGCAUUGUGAGUAUAAGAUCAGUAAUGAAGCAGAACAUAUAAGUGCUUACCUGGUCAAACAUGAUAUUUCUUUUUCUUCCUAAAAUAUAUCAGCCCAGAGUGAGCCUAGCAGCUUUCUUUGAUAAAUGUAUGCUACUGAAAUAGUCAGUGAUGGGGUAGAGAAAGGAGCAACCUGGAAAGAUCCCAGUAGUCUACAAAACAUCUUGAAUGAAACAAUUGCUUGUCCAAAAGGCAAUGAUUUGGUCAAAUCAUUGCUAUUGUGAGGUUGUGGGUUUCCUAUUACUGUCAUUGUGGCAUUAAUACACUGAGAAAUUCAGAUAGUUUAUCAGCAUCCAUUAAGGAAGGGAAGGAAAUAAGGACAAAAGCCUGUUGUUUAUUUAAGGUUGUGUUUUAUUUAUCCUCUGGCUUUUAAAAGCCUCUUGUUUUAUGUGCCGUGUGGGCACAGAGGUUUCAAUUUAAAAACACUACCACUAAACCAAACAACCAAACUGACAAAAGUCAUCUCAGAGAGAGCAGAUGAGAUGUAAAAGCAACUCAGUACUCACAACACUCGUUGAAGUAAAAGCCUUCCACUAAGGUCUGAAGGACAAUGACCUCAAAAUCAGACUGAAUGUGGAAACUGUGACUCUGGUGAAGAGGAUGUUCUUACUUUGGCUCUUUGGAGUUAAUAUCUAUGAACUCUUAGCAUUCUGGGUUUCUCAGAUGGAAGUUAAGAGGAUGUGAAGGAUGGUGGGAUAUGACCGCACACCUUUGCUUACUACCACUGUGCUAGCAUUAGGGCACCAUGAAGCAAUGGGCACUUACACAUACAAUACAAGUUAAGAAUAAGCAGGAAAGGUAGAGAUAAGACAAAUAAUUCUACUCCUGUGGCCUGACAAGUAUAAAAACAUGUGAGCUUUCUCCCCAGUACUAUCAGAUUUUCCAGGCUUUUUUUCCUCAGUUCAAGGCUCACAUAUUUUCCUUUUGUUAGUUGAACUCACAAAACAGCAAAAUAUUGCAACUUUCCAAAAUGGCUCAUUCAGCUAUUAUUACUGUUAUUAUUUUAUUAUUUCCUUUCCUGAUCCAUCACUGUCAGAAGGACUGUGCUGAGGACAGACUCAGUUGAAUAGCAAUAGCUACUAAACCACUCCUCCGCAAGGCUCUUCUGCAUUUGUUUGCACAGGCAGCUCGUCCUUCACCACCACCCAAAUGCCCAGCCCACUUUAUCAGGCUGAUACUUAGAAAUCCCUACCUCUGCUCUGAGGAGAGAAGAAACCCUUUCUGAACUGCUAGUCCUCAGCUUCACCCUGUGCUCCCUGGCCACACCAUCAGAAACAGCUUACUUGUUAUGGACAGCAGUAGAAUUCUACGUGUAGUGCUGAGAAUUUAGGGAGUCCUGCCAGCUGCACAUUGCAGGUCCAAGAGACUCAGGCAGUACUCCAGUAUUGUGGUCCUAUUCUAAUAGGACAAUAAAUAGAAGCACACUCUCUAAUGCUAGUCCUGCUAAACAAGAAUGUUAAAGCAUUAAGGAAUCUCUUAUUUGAAAAGAUCUUGAAUAUCGCUCUCAGCCAACAUUGAAAUUCUCAGUGGUGGUCAAAUUGUUUGGUGUCUUUUAUCAAACAGAUACUUUCAGGGUGCUGGUACUGCAAUGAGUUCUAUAGCAUUGCUUUGUCAACUUCAAUUAAUAUCCUGACAUUUUCUCACACAGCUGGCCCUGAAGAUUGUUUUUUUUUUUUUUUUACCAUUCUGCAAAGCUGUCUUUUCCAGACCUCUGUGGGGCUGAGGCUUCAGAGUGGUGUUGUGAAAACCUCCCUUUUGUGGGUGACCUCAGUGUCACUUGGAUACUGUGAUGAGUGAGGAGUGACCAUCCCUCUUCAUCUGUGUUACAGUGCGAACACGUAAUGCAUUUGCCAUCAUAUUGAACAUUAUCUAUAGAGUCAGCAGUUUUUCAGAAUUACUACUAUCUUUGUCUCUCACAGCUAGACUGGUGUAUAUUACUAAAAAACAAGAUGAUCAGAUGACCUGAAGACACAGAACAACUUGGAUGGAUGAACAGGAGACCACAUCUCUGCAAAUCACUAUGAAUCCCCAAAUACACAGCCCUCAAAUGUGCACAAAUCAGCACUUCCGUAGAAUUUAGCUUCAAAAGAGGAGACUUUUCCAGUCAGACUCUGUAUUAUUAACCAAAUCAGUGUUUCUGUUUUCUUUUGUAGAACAUGUUGAGAGCAGGCUGGCUCUCACUACAUAACACAGAUGUAAGUAUUUCACAUUGGUCUUGGUGGAUGACUGCACAUCCAUAGGUGCAGGUGGGUUAUAUAUGGAUGAAUGGGCAUAGUGUUCCUGGUCAAUUUACCAGUGUAAAUUGGUGGAGCUCUCAGGGAAGCGAUUGCACCAGUUUGCAAAACAUCCUUGCUAUGGAAGGGUCCUGCAAAGUUUUUCCACACUUCGUGGAGGAAAUACUGAAAUAUUUGGAAAAGAUGAAGAGGGAGGCAAAGAGCAGCCCGGGCUCUUUUAAAAUCCUUUUGCCACAAACAAAAGUCGUACAGCAUUUUUCUGCACUCUGCCCUGUCCAUGAACACAGAGCAGCAGCCAAUUGGAUUAUAGCACUGCUGAUUACUUAUGAUUUCCUUCCUGUGAGGACAGGCCCUGAUGUGUUGUUUUUUGAUAACACUGGCUCCUUUAAAGCAAUAAUGGUGGUACAGUUUCCUGCCUAAUCGUAGAGCAAUUAUUGUACCUCAAAAGGGAAAACAUUUAGAAGAACACAGUUUUAGUUCAGAAGUGAUAACGGCAACAUUUUUGUGCAAGUCUGUGAUUACAUUUGAGGUCAUUCAACCACCUUUCAUGGCAACAUAUGACAAAAAUCAAAGAGAAGAGAGGCAAAGGGUUGCUCUUAUCUACCACCAUCCUAUAUGAUCAAGAUUCCCUGUUGCUUGCAUGGUUUGGGAGCUGGGAUUUUGCUCAUGCUCAUCAGUUGUAAUAGCACAUGGAGUAUUUUACCUCCACAUCUAUAAUUAGGUGUGAACAGCAGUUGCUCUGAUUUUCAGUAAUUCAUGUUAUUGGAGCUAGUGACCUUGGCCAAAGUGGCUGUUUCCAAAAGGAGAGGGCUGUCCUUCAGUGGCUUGGGAAGAUGUUGCUAGAGCUGCCUUCACCAGCUGGUAAAUACAUGCCUAUUUUCAAAUGAAUUAGGCAAAUUAGCAUCAGAACAAAAUCAGAGCUUAAGGGGCUGUGCAUACACAGCCUUCUCACAUCAGGCGGUCUUACUAGGAUGGGGCUUGCAAAGAAAGUAGAAAGAGACUAAAGCAGUGUAGUCUCAUAUGUGCAUCUUCUUGUAAGGUAGCAAUUUCACUUAUGAGUCCAGUGCAUCUCAGAAAUAUACAGCAGUGGUCUUGCAACACAGGAUGAAAAACAGUGCCAGUGUUUGAAGUUAAUGUACUGGUAGUUGGGUCUUUCCAAAACUUGUACUUUGAGCUUAGUUUUUACACUGGUCUUACUGUAUUGAGUGUCAUGCCAUUUGGCCCAACAUUUUCUCAAUGACAGAACUACUUUAUUUAAUUUUAUGGUGUCAAUUUUUAAAAGUCUCAUUCUUUCAAUCUUACCCUCACAAAAGGUUAUUCCAGCAGAGCAAUUUCACCAAAGACAGUACUAGUCUGUAGUUCUGAAAGUGUACCGGCAACCAGAACAUCUGGUAAAAAAUAAUCUCACUAUAUAGCUAAAUUUGUACAACAUACAACUGAAAUCUGUUGACUUUACCGUGGUUGGCAUUUCCUCCCUAGUUCUGUUCCUAGCUCUACUUCUCCUCAGUGUGCAUCUGGGAAACAAUGUUUUUAAAACCCCUCGUUGACCUGUUCUGGUACUCAACUGACUGCAGAAAUGAAGUCAGAAAUGUGGCACAGUUUGCUUGGACUCCUGGCACAUUUUUGGUGCACUCAGGCAUUUCCAAGCUGAGGCUGAAGUGUGUGCUUCCAACCUCCUCGCUGGAGAACUCUCUGGAUACAAAGGGUGUGUGUCCAUGGUGAGAGAAGCCCUAUCUCACUGAAGUAGAGCAGAGAAAGGAAAUGACUCAGUCAUCAAAAGGCCCUCCUUCCUCAGGGAACUAUCCUUAAUCAGUAUUAUCCCACUACAAUAACACUAUUUCAGAAGGACUGUGAACCAGAGCACUGCGUAGCCAUGUAAACUGCUUCCUGUAUUUGCCAAACAAAACAGCUGCAACGCAGAAGUGCCAGUGCUUCUGUGUUAACAUUCACCAGUUUCAUAGAGAGGUACUCACAUUACUGGGGGCAGCCUGUCAGUUGGUCUCCACCAAGUUCUCAGUACCAGCUGACCAGUAUAGUAUCUACCCUGGGAUUACUCCCAGCAGAUACUGGCAGGGACAUAUCCUUAGUACCAUGACAGUGUGUGUAUGUGUGUGUGUGCAUACAUAUAUAUACACAUAUAUCAGCAGGAGACAAAGCACCACAUAUCAAAGUAAGCAAAGUCAUUCACAGAAAGCAAGGAGACCUCCUGAGAGCUACGGAGCAGUUUCUCACAAACACGUUUCUUCUGCAGAAGAUAGAGGCAGCUUACUUGUGUUCCCAGGCUAAGAAGAGCCCUUUCCCGUGGGCUAAUCACCCAUUCAGGCCAUGAUCUACAUUUUUCCACACAACAGCACUCCACAGCUAAUAGAAUUUACCUAUUAGUCUUGCCAUGAUAAAACAACAAACAGCUGUUAAUACCAUUGCCCAUCUUGGUGCAAUCCUUCUCCCAUCAAGAGUCCUUUUCAGUUUAGAGCUGCCUUACUCUCCCAUGGUCUUUCACACCAGCAAAAAAAAUAAACCAGACUGCUUGCAUUUCACUUGGCUCAAAAUGCCAUAGCUAUGAAAACUGUCCUCAUUACCCUUGCAAGAGCUAUUGCAAAGCUCCUUCCUGGGAUACCCUGAUUACUCAUUGCUUUAGAAUUAAGCUGGGAUACUUUGUGCUGCUUGCCAGGAACCCUGUACAAUCUCUACCUUUUGGUGCUUGAUAAUAGGCAGCUACAGAAAUUGGCUGCAGAAGCUAUAGAAUAAAGCAAUGGGUCCUUCAGAGCCCAGGGACCAGGAGCAUCACAGAGACUCAGCUCUUCAUAAUUAACUCUGGUUAGACACAGCCACAGAUGUGCAGCAUCUCAGCAACAAAUGGAGCAUUUGUUCUUCUUUGAUUUGAUAGAAGAGAAGCUCAUGAUAUGACAAGAAAACACCACUUGUAACAACUUCUCUCGCCAUACCCUUUUAUGGCUGUCAAUCAGCCAUCUCUGAGGCUGAGCACAGAGGGUUUGCAGGCUGACUUCCGUAUGCAUCCCACAGUAAAAAUUAUACCUUGGAUGGAGCAGAAAUUUGUUCCUAUAGUCAGGUCUACUGCUUGCUUCAUUUGAAAUUAUGGAAAGAACUAAAAAUCUCAUGCAGAAACCAAGACUCUACUGCAGUUGGCCCUGUGUAAGCACACAGCAAGCAGACUGACUUUGAUUUGAGAAGCUUUCACAGCAGGCUCAGACAGGAUGGAACAGGUGAAGGCAGAAAACAAGACUGGAUAAAUGCUAAAUAACAGUGGCUACCCAGAUUAGAGUAACAAGCAUGCUAAACACACGCUGGAUGGAAAGUAUUCUUGCAUACAUUAAUUUUGAUGUGUAAGCUUUCAAAUAUGCAAAGUAAUCUUAAGCAAGAUGUGAAAAACUUAGCUAGUAAGAUUUGCAAGAUCUCUUUAAGAUCCCAAAAAAUGAAUUUUGGAUAUACAAAAAAUGAACUUUGAGUAUAUCAGCCAGAUAAUUAUGUGUCCAAGAAGACAUUCAGGAUGCCCAGCUAUGCAGGAUUACUUCAUCAGUGUGGGCUUUGCUCCUGAGAAUAAAUGAGCUGAUAUCCAAACAGACUUAAUAUGGUCAUUUCAAUAUGCUUUGUAAACACUGGCUUUGAAGUCUUUCCACACAGGCUUCAUAGGCUUACACAAGUCUGACUGCCAUGGCAGAGCUUUGACUGGGAGGUUUCAAAACAAAACCAUAGCACUGACCUUGGGGUCUGGGUUUGGUUCUAGUGUCUAGAGUCUGUUGCCAAAUGGAUUGGAUGUUUCAAACACACAAGGAGUAAAACAAAUAGAACAGUAGAAAAGAACACGUGCCUCUACUUUUCUUGGAAAUGCACAUUACAAACUUGAGCUUCUAUCUCGGCUGCUUUCUGGUUACUGCCUCAGUGGGAAAUGAUAAAAAUGCAAAAUCAAUACGUUAGGAUCUCCUCAUCGCAAGAGGUGAAACUAAUGGCCUAAAUUUAUGGCUGAUGCAAUUUCAUCGCAGUCACUGCAGAUUCUCUCCAUAUGCUCAGGCUAUUUUACACAUGAUGAAGCUGAAUGGUAUUGAUGGUACUGUGACAGCUGUGAUGUCUUAUUUCAACUCAAAAUCUGUCUGAAAACUUUCCACUCUAUAAUAAUCCUGAGGGGAUAAGUGUAGAAGCAGUGUUGCAUAUCUGAUGCCCAAGUCUUUGUAUUAGAUUUGCAAGAAUAGCACCAAAGAAUUUGCCAAGAAAAAAAGACUUUGAGUACUCUGUAUACAAAUAAGAUAUCACCUGCAACAAAACCACACCUCAAUUAAAACCACAGAUUUUAAAAGAGACAAUGAUGACACCAAUUAAUUAGAUGUGAGACAUGGCUAAUAACGAGAAGUGACAAAAAUCAAUCUCUUCCUUAGUGCACUGACUGCCAGGAAGGGUACGGAUCUCCCAUGACCUGUUCUAACUGAACUUCCAGGUGUCAGUUGACAAAAACAGAGGUUAGCAUUCUUUUCUGCAUUGGAUAAGGUCUUAUCUUUACUUUGCUUUAGAGAAAAAACAAUAGAUGUUUUUGCACUUGGGACUCUAUUCAAGAAAGACAAAAUCAAAGCAUUCUUUCCACCAGUUUUGGAUUAGAACAAACUGAUGGGAUGAGGAUAGAUGGUCUUUGAAGGACUCAGGAGAUAUUAAUUCAAGUAUUGGCUGUGCCAGAGGUUCCCAGGGUGCUCUAGGGAAGACUGCUUCAUCUGCCUGUGGAAGUUUUCCACUUGUGUAGUCAAACGAUGCACUGCUUCCUUUCUACCACCUUCCACCUUUCUCUAGCUUGUCCUUGGAAACUCUUUGGAUAGGAUCCAUCUCAUACAGGAGUUUGUACAGCAUCUGUCACACUGGAGUCCGUACUGAGGUAAAAUUAUGAAGAAGGUCAUAGGAGUGAAUGGAAAACAUGGUUUGUUGGGAAGAAUAUUACUUACUGAAUAUUAUUUGAAAAAACAAGCAGUUCAACUAAGAAAACAUUGAAUAGUUCAUACCGCACUGCUACUCUUCAUUUUAAUUUCCUUAGAUAGAUUGUUCUCACAUUUUGUGCUGAAGGUAAAAAGCCAGAAUUUGUUAAAGUUCUCUUUCUUAAAACGUCGUUGUUAGAAAUGUCCACCAGAAUAUUAGCAGUUCUGAAUUUUUGCCUUAGCAAAAAAAAUAUUUUUUAAUACUUUUUCAUUAAAACAAAACUAUUUGCAUCUUAUGUUACAGUCUUGAAGGUGAAGAAGAAAGCUUUGAGUUACUUUUUUUUGGUUUGCAUUUGAAAUAUGCAAUGCUUUUUUCAGUUUCUGAAAGUACAAGACUCGAUUUUUCUCCUGAAACCACUGCUGGAGCUGAACAUAAGCGUGUUUUACACAUCCUGGAAGAUUCGAUGGGUCAAAUUCAUCACUGGUUCUACACCAUGGCUGCAGUGGAAACAACAAUCCAAAAUGAUCUAAGGAUUUGUUCUGCAAGUUGCCGGACUUCUUCACACCUGCUGCAGUGGGAGGUGGAGGGACUCAGAAGCUUCAAAGGCACAAUGAAUAUCAUAAACUGGGUGCAAAUACAAAGGGUUCACAGGAGGGAAAUGAUUUUCCUCCAGUAAACUUCUGGGCAGGAAAAGCAAGGAGGGAAGAAUAAAAAUGAAAGGAGGUGAAGGGAGAUAGCGAAGAAGUUAGAGAGGAAAGCUGAGGAAUGAGAUGCUGUAUAUGAUUAAGGCCAAACUCAUAGCUGGAACACAGUGACAAGAAACCACAUGGUUUACUGUCAUGGAAGCACUCAAGUGCAUCCGUUAACAUAACGACCCAUCUUUAUGGGAACAACACACAGAAGGGCUUUAAAAUUCAAAUCAUAAAUACUUAAUGCUAAUUUUUUUUUUGCCUGUAACAGAAGUGUGAAUAACAAUAACAGAAAAAGUCACAGUAAAGUCAAAGUCACAGUCAAUUUUGCUGUCUCCGUAGUACAAAAAUAAGGCAACACUACAUGAUGUUAAAAAGGCAUUUCUUUUGUAAUAGCCAAAGAUUUUGUUUUCUACCCAAUGAACAGUCAAGCCACUCAAAGCGUUGCUGUCAUGUUUAAAACCCAGUAUAUACAAGGACUCCAGGCUGGAUUUUCAGUUCUUGUACAAAUAAAUACAUUCCCAAACAUCUGGAAAAAUAAGAGCCACACACUGUUUUCGUAACCAUCUGACAACUAACCAACAGAAACUAUGAGAAAAGUGUGUCCUGGUGGUGCUUCCCUCCCACCAUUUCAGAGUUGCCCACUAAAAUUUCAACUCUGCCUGUUGCCAAAGUCCUGCAAUGGAAGAAAAUACAUUGCUGAUCUGACCUAAGAUUUCCUCCAUCACCUGCAGCAGGGUGACUUGUGAAGAGAUCUGAGCAGAAGGAGUAUUUCAUCCUUUGACUGCAGGGAAUGGGGACAUGGGGAUGAAAUCCAAAGGGCUAACAUAGCAUGAUCCACACAUUUUUUAGAAGGUGUCCAUAGCAGCCAGAAAUUUAAGAAUUAAACCACACUUUCCUGUAGUUAUCUUGUUAUAUGUUAAAAAAGAAGCAUCUCCAAGACCUCCUGUUCAUAUUUGCUACUGUGAGUAGUAGAAAUUAGUUCUAUAUUAAGCUUUAAUGAUAAAACACAGCAUUGGCAUCAUGAAGAUGUUUGUGUAUGAAUGAUUCAAAGGCGCUUUGCAAGAACAGACAAGUUAACCUGUAAGGCAGUGCUGAAUAAGUACUCAGCCAGGAUCAGAAGAACAGACAGCACAGUGCAUCAGUUAAAAAUGAGGAAGGUUUUGGAGCUUGUACAAAAAUACAAACAGUUGUGGGGGUGAGAGAAAAUACCAGGUGACUAGCUGAAGGCAAUAGCUGUACCAAACCCGGCCAAAGGAGAUCCUGCUGAUCAAAAUAAUUAUGGAGGUGUAAGCUUAUUGUCAGUACUGAGAAAAAUUCUGAUGAAGGCAACAGUCAACAGAUCAAAGCCAGCUCUAGACAGAGCAGUGAGAGAAAAAUGGUGUGGCUUCAGACCAGGGUAAAGUUGUAUUAAUCAGAUAUUCAGAUUUUUACAGCUGACAGAAAAAGGAAGAAUGAGGUUCAAAAGUGUUUGCUAUCUUCCUUGAUGCCAUGAAAGCAUUUCAUUCGGUUCAGAAGGCACUAUUAUAGAACACAGUAGAAAUGAUACAACAGUCAGGUAAGCAUAUCGGUAGUAUAAAUGCUGGGAACUCCUGCAGUGCUAUAGGAAUCAGCAGAAAAAUCAAGCAACUGGUUCAAACCCAGCCUGGUAUGAAACAAAAGACCAGGAAUUCACCAACACUUUCAACAUAUACUUCAAAUAGACCUUAGGAUAGUAAAUGAGCUAAAGCACGUGACAAAGGAAGAUCUAAAUUUCACAUUCACAAAUAACAUUGCAUAACUUUCAGAUAAAUGAGGCAAAACUGAUUAUCUUUGCAAAAUGACAAAAUCGCUGUAGUCAACUCAGGUUUUAGCAUCUACCAGUAAUAUAAAGUAUUUCCCUUUAGGAAAAAAAAUGAAACACUUUUUAAUAUAUUCAGAGAACUUAACCACUACUAAGGAAAAGUAGGAAAACAAGACAUACUUAGGCAGAAGCUUAUAGUAUGAAAGCAUGUAUUUAAGAAAGAACAUUAAUGACCUACAGAUCAGUCA